ACGAUUGGGACUGAUGCUGGCUCUUCACUGAGCAUGUGCUCGUCUCGUCUAUUUAUCUUCUCUUGUGCACAUCUUGUGGUCUUGAAUUGAAAACCUUUUCGCAUUCGUGCGGUUUGGGAGAUUGUUAAACCUUCUCCUGCUUUCGUCGCGGUUUGGGAGAUUGUUAACCCUUUCUUCUGUUUCCUUCGCGCGGUUUGGGAGGUUGUUAACCCCUUCUCCUGCUUGAUUCAAGGCCAUGUUUUCAUAUACACUAUAUAAAGUUACAGAAUGUCUUUUAACGAUUGCGCUUGUCGUAGUCAUUAAACCUAUACAACUUUCAGCAACGGAUCUCUUGGCUCUCCUAUCGAUGAAGAACGCAGCGAAAUGCGAUAAGUAAUGUGAAUUGCAGAAUUCAGUGAAUCAUCGAAUCUUUGAACGCACCUUGCGCCCUUUGGUAUUCCGAAGGGCAUGCCUGUUUGAGUGUCAUUAAAUUAUCAACCUUGCUCGCUUUUACUAGUUUGAGUUAGGCUUGGAUGUGAGGGCUUUGCUGGCUUCCUUCAGUGGAUGGUCUGCUCCCUUUAAAUACAUUAGUGGGAUCUCUUGUGGACCGUCACUUGGUGUGAUAAUUAUCUAUGCCUUGCGACUUUGAAGCAAACUUAUGGGAAUCCGCUUAUAACCGUCUUCGGACAAUUAAUGACUAUUUGACCUCAAAUCAGGUAGGACUACCCGCUGAACUUAAGCAUAU
RNAcentral lists this ribosomal RNA (724 nucleotides) under Mycena haematopus. RNAcentral describes it as "eukaryotic LSU rRNA". The stretch from base 312 to 465 matches the Rfam family "5.8S ribosomal RNA". Lineage: Eukaryota; Fungi; Basidiomycota; Agaricomycetes; Agaricales; Mycenaceae. The record is from RNAcentral.